UACGAAGGGGGCUAGCGUUGUUCGGAAUUACUGGGCGUAAAGCGCACGCAGGCGGAUUGAUAAGUCGGGGGUGAAAUCCCGGGGCUCAACCUCGGAAUUGCCUUCGAUACUGUUUAUCUUGAGUCCGGGAGAGGUGAGUGGAAUUCCUAGUGUAGAGGUGAAAUUCGUAGAUAUUCGCAAGAACACCAGUGGCGAAGGCGGCUCACUGGCCCGGUACUGACGCUGAGGUGCGAAAGCGUGGGGAGCAAACAGG
RNAcentral lists this ribosomal RNA (253 nucleotides) under uncultured bacterium. RNAcentral describes it as "partial 16S ribosomal RNA". It matches the Rfam family "Bacterial small subunit ribosomal RNA", at positions 524 to 776 of the family's 1533-position model. The record is from RNAcentral.